This 245-nucleotide ribosomal RNA is filed under the name Streptococcus ratti FA-1 = DSM 20564. Its description in RNAcentral is "partial 23S ribosomal RNA". It matches the Rfam family "Bacterial large subunit ribosomal RNA", at positions 1 to 249 of the family's 2925-position model. The record is from RNAcentral. Lineage: Bacteria; Bacillati; Bacillota; Bacilli; Lactobacillales; Streptococcaceae.
AGGUUAAGUAAGUAAGGGCGCACGGUGGAUGCCUAGGCACUAGGAGCCGAUGAAGGACGUGACGAACGACGAAAUGCUUUGGGGAGCUGUAAGUAAGCCCUGAUCCAGAGAUGUCCGAAUGGGGGAACCCGGCAUGUGAUGCAUGUCACUCAUUACUGUUAAGGUAAUGAAGAGGAAGACGCAGUGAACUGAAACAUCUAAGUAGCUGCAGGAAGAGAAAGCAAGAGCGAUAGCCUGAGUAGCGG